Molecule: ribosomal RNA, 472 nt
Filed under: Perinereis vallata
Lineage: Eukaryota; Metazoa; Annelida; Polychaeta; Phyllodocida; Nereididae
Description: partial large subunit ribosomal RNA
Rfam family: Bacterial large subunit ribosomal RNA
Source: RNAcentral
CGCCUAUUGAAUAUAUAAUAGGUCCAUCCUGCCCAGUGAACACGAUUUCAACGGCCGCGGUAUCCUGACCGUGCAAAGGUAGCAUAAUCAUUUGCCUUUUAAUUGAAGGCUAGUAUGAAAGGACACACAAGAAUAAAGCUGUCUCAUUUGGGUUUACUUAAAACUGAUCUUUAGGUGAAGAAGCCUAAAUUACAAUAAAGGACAAGAAGACCCUAUAGAGCUUUAUUAACAGAAGUUAUUAUACCCCCCUGUUAAUUUGGUUGGGACAACCAAAAGACAUUUAUACCUCUUUUACACACUAUAAAACCCUUACCCAUGACUGAACUAGAAUUUCAAGCUACCUUAGGGAUAACAGGCUAAUCCCACUAGAGAGACCACAUUGACAGUGGGGAUUGGCACCUCGAUGUUGGCUUAGUGUAACCAUUAGGCGCAGCAGCUUAAUUGAGUUGGUUUGUUCAACCAUUAAAUCACU